GACGAACGCUGGCGGCGUGCUUAACACAUGCAAGUCGAACGGAAAGGCCCUGCUUUUGUGGGGUGCUCGAGUGGCGAACGGGUGAGUAACACGUGAGUAACCUGCCCUUGACUUUGGGAUAACUUCAGGAAACUGGGGCUAAUACCGGAUAGGAGCUCCUGCUGCAUGGUGGGGGUUGGAAAGUUUCGGCGGUUGGGGAUGGACUCGCGGCUUAUCAGCUUGUUGGUGGGGUAGUGGCUUACCAAGGCUUUGACGGGUAGCCGGCCUGAGAGGGUGACCGGCCACAUGGGGACUGAGAUACGGCCCAGACUCCUACGGGAGGCAGCAGUGGGGAAUAUUGCACAAUGGGCGGAAGCCUGAUGCAGCAACGCCGCGUGCGGGAGGACGGCCUUCGGGUUGUAAACCGCUUUCGCCUGCGACGAAGCGUGAGUGACGGUAAUGGGGAAAGAAGCACCGGCUAACUACGU
This 467-nucleotide ribosomal RNA is filed under the name uncultured bacterium. RNAcentral describes it as "partial 16S ribosomal RNA". It matches the Rfam family "Bacterial small subunit ribosomal RNA", at positions 28 to 506 of the family's 1533-position model. The record is from RNAcentral.